Molecule: ribosomal RNA, 867 nt
Filed under: Peribacillus simplex
Lineage: Bacteria; Bacillati; Bacillota; Bacilli; Caryophanales; Bacillaceae
Description: bacterial SSU rRNA
Rfam family: Bacterial small subunit ribosomal RNA
Source: RNAcentral
AGACGAACGCUGGCGGCGUGCUUAAUACAUGCAAGUCGAGCGAAUCGAUGGGAGCUUGCUCCCUGAGAUUAGCGGCGGACGGGUGAGUAACACGUGGGCAACCUGCCUAUAAGACUGGGAUAACUUCGGGAAACCGGAGCUAAUACCGGAUACGUUCUUUUCUCGCAUGAGAGAAGAUGGAAAGACGGUUUACGCUGUCACUUAUAGAUGGGCCCGCGGCGCAUUAGCUAGUUGGUGAGGUAAUGGCUCACCAAGGCGACGAUGCGUAGCCGACCUGAGAGGGUGAUCGGCCACACUGGGACUGAGACACGGCCCAGACUCCUACGGGAGGCAGCAGUAGGGAAUCUUCCGCAAUGGACGAAAGUCUGACGGAGCAACGCCGCGUGAACGAAGAAGGCCUUCGGGUCGUAAAGUUCUGUUGUUAGGGAAGAACAAGUACCAGAGUAACUGCUGGUACCUUGACGGUACCUAACCAGAAAGCCACGGCUAACUACGUGCCAGCAGCCGCGGUAAUACGUAGGUGGCAAGCGUUGUCCGGAAUUAUUGGGCGUAAAGCGCGCGCAGGUGGUUCCUUAAGUCUGAUGUGAAAGCCCACGGCUCAACCGUGGAGGGUCAUUGGAAACUGGGGAACUUGAGUGCAGAAGAGGAAAGUGGAAUUCCAAGUGUAGCGGUGAAAUGCGUAGAGAUUUGGAGGAACACCAGUGGCGAAGGCGACUUUCUGGUCUGUAACUGACACUGAGGCGCGAAAGCGUGGGGAGCAAACAAGAGUAGAUACCCUGGUAGUCCACGCCCGUAAACGAUGAGUGCUAAAUGUUAGGAGGGUUGCCGCCCUUAACUGCUGCAGCUAACGCAUUAAACAACUCCGCC